AAUAUUGGACAAUGGGCGAAAGCCUGACCCAGCAAUGCCGCGUGUGUGAAGAAGGUCUUCGGUUUNUAACGCACUUUAUGGUGGGANGAAGGGUUGUAGAUUAAUACUCUGCAAUUUUGACGUUACCGACAGAAUAAGCACCGGCUAACUCCAUUCCAGCAGCCGCGGUAAUACGAAGGGUGCAAGCUUUAAUCGGAAUUACUGGGCGUAAAGCGCGCGUAGGUGGUUCGUGAAGUUGGAUGAGAAAUCCCCAGGCUCAACCUGGGACCUGCAUCCAAAACUGGCGAGCUAGAGUAUGGUAGACGGUGGUGGAAUUUCCUGUGUAGCGGUGAAAUGCGUAGAUAUAGGAAGGAACACCAAUGGCGAAGGCGACCACCUGGACUGAUACUGUCACUGAGGUGCGAAAGCGUGGGGAGCAAACAGG
Molecule: ribosomal RNA, 424 nt
Filed under: uncultured bacterium
Lineage: Bacteria
Description: partial 16S ribosomal RNA
Rfam family: Bacterial small subunit ribosomal RNA
Source: RNAcentral